AUGCUUCUUUGUACCAAUAUGGAAAAUCUAAAAGAAAAAACCCACACUCAGCACUAUGAAUGUUAUUGGUACCAAAAACUGGAGAAAAUGGGCUUUACAGAUGUGGGCCCAGACAACCAGCCAGUUAGUUUUCAAGAAAUCUCUGAAGCCAAAAGACAAGAGUUCUACAAUCAAUGUCAGAGGGAAGAAGAAGAGUUGAAACAGAGAUUUAUGCAGUGAGUCAAGGAGAAAGAAGCAACAUUUAAAGAAGCUGAAAAAGAGGUCAGUACUGAUAUUUGAUAUAAUUUGCAUUAAUUUUUAGGUGCCCCGAUUAAUUUGGGCAUUUCAAUCUCAAGAGUUUAGUUGAUGUUUUUGGAGAAUACUUGCUAUUUUUCAAAAAGUAGCUUUUUACCAUGUAGAUUUGAAUAUAGCCUUUACAAAAGUAUAGUCUGUAGUGUUUCUUCUAGAGAACUUAGAGAUAAUUUCCCUUUAAAUAACUCUUAAGAUAAUUUUAUAAAAAUUUAUUUAUUUUAUUUAUAAUUUAAAUUUUCAUGCAAGUAAGUGGUUAAUUUUUGACAACCAAGAAGAGCUUGGGACUGUCUAAUGUUAUGAAGUGACUAGAAAAUUG
RNAcentral lists this long non-coding RNA (607 nucleotides) under Macaca nemestrina (pig-tailed macaque). RNAcentral's name for it is "lncRNA (ENSMNEG00000046130.1)". The record is from RNAcentral. Lineage: Eukaryota; Metazoa; Chordata; Mammalia; Primates; Cercopithecidae.